UACGUAGGGGGCAAGCGUUGUCCGGAAUCAUUGGGCGUAAAGCGCGCGUAGGUGGCCCCAUAAGUCCGUUGUGAAAGUCAAAGGCUCAACCUUUGAAAGCCGAUGGAUACUGUAGGGCUAGAGUCCGGAAGAGGCCAGUGGAAUUCCUGGUGUAGCGGUGGAAUGCGCAGAUAUCAGGAGGAACACCAAUAGCGAAGGCAGCUGGCUGGGACGGUACUGACACUAAGGCGCGAAAGCGUGGGGAGCGAACAGG
This 253-nucleotide ribosomal RNA is filed under the name uncultured bacterium. Its description in RNAcentral is "partial 16S ribosomal RNA". It matches the Rfam family "Bacterial small subunit ribosomal RNA", at positions 524 to 776 of the family's 1533-position model. The record is from RNAcentral.